This is a non-coding RNA of Acanthosepion pharaonis, 114 nucleotides long. NCBI's taxonomy places the organism in Eukaryota, Metazoa, Mollusca, Cephalopoda, Sepiida, Sepiidae. The record is from the annotation of a GenBank genome assembly.
UUACGGCCACAUCAUAUUGAAACAUCGAUACGCGUAGGAUCACCGAAGUUAAGCAACGUUGUGCCUGGUCAGGAUCUAGAUGAGUGACCACUUGGGAAUACCAGGUGCUGCAAG